RNAcentral lists this long non-coding RNA (284 nucleotides) under Ananas comosus (pineapple). RNAcentral's name for it is "long non-coding RNA (ACOM_LNC036422)". The record is from RNAcentral. Lineage: Eukaryota; Viridiplantae; Streptophyta; Magnoliopsida; Poales; Bromeliaceae.
AAAACCCACGGGACCAACAUGCGAAAAAACAAUUCGCUAAGAGAAAAGAUUACAAGGUGAUUACCGACUCCACGGACUCAACCUCUCUUAACCUCCUAUGAAUCUCGUGCAAUCCUCCGGGUUGUCCACGCCCUCACGUUUGAAUCCACGAACGCCACGUCUCGAAUCCACGAAACGCCUCGCACACGUCCGAAUCCACGAACGCCACUCGAAUCCACGAGCCUUUGAUCCGAAUCCUCGAACCGUCGUUAAUCACGCCGAAUCCACGACGCCGUUUAUGAAGA